UAUUUUGGAAGAGAUGCAUUUAUUAGAUAAAAAACCAAUACAUACUUUUUCAAGUAUGAAAUUUGGUGAUUUACAAUAACUUAGCAAAUCGCAUAGUGAAAACAGGCGAUAAAUCAUUCAAGUCUCUGACCUAUCAGCUUUCGACGGUAUGGUAUUGGCUUACCGUGGCAGUGACGGUUAACGGGGGAUUAGGGUUCGAUUCCGGAGAGGGAGCCUGAGAAACGGCUACCACAUCUAAGGAAGGCAGCAGGCGCGCAAAUUACCCAACCUAACAGCAUAAGAGAGGUAGUGACAAGAAAUAACAAUACAAGGCAGUUAAAAUGCUUUGUAAUCGGAAUGAUAGAAAUUUAAACACUUUUUAAAGUAUCAAUUGGAGGGCAAGUCUGGUGCCAGCAGCCGCGGUAAUUCCAGCUCCAAUAGCGUAUAUUAAAAUUGUUGCAGUUAAAAAGCUCGUAGUUGAAUUUCUGUUAAAAAUAACCGGUCUGCUUUUAAUAAAAGUGGUAUCUUGGUGUGUUUUUAGCAAUAAUGUCCUUUGAAAUGUUUUUUACUUUAUUGUAAUAAAUAAUAUUCAGGAUUUUUACUUUGAGAAAAUUAGAGUGUUUCUAGCAGGCUAACGCUUUGAAUACUGCAGCAUGGAAUAAUAAAAUAGGAUUUUAGUUCUACAUUAUUGGUUUUAAGAACUAAAUUAAUGAUUGAUAGGGACAGUUGGGGGCAUUUGUAUUUAACUGUCAGAGGUGAAAUUCUUAGAUUUGUUAAAGACAAACUACUGCGAAAGCAUUUGCCAAAGAUGUUUUCAUUAAUCAAGAACG
RNAcentral lists this ribosomal RNA (809 nucleotides) under Hepatozoon felis. RNAcentral's name for it is "SSU rRNA". It matches the Rfam family "Eukaryotic small subunit ribosomal RNA", at positions 188 to 985 of the family's 1831-position model. The record is from RNAcentral. Lineage: Eukaryota; Apicomplexa; Hepatozoidae.